RNAcentral lists this ribosomal RNA (253 nucleotides) under uncultured bacterium. Its description in RNAcentral is "partial 16S ribosomal RNA". It matches the Rfam family "Bacterial small subunit ribosomal RNA", at positions 524 to 776 of the family's 1533-position model. The record is from RNAcentral.
UACAGAGACUGCAAGCGUUAUUCGGAUUCACUGGGCGUAAAGGGUGCGCAGGCGGCCAAGUGUGUGAGGCGUGAAAGCCUGGGGCUUAACUCCAGAAUUGCACCUCAAACUACAUGGCUAGAGCAUUGGAGAGGGUAGCAGAAUUCACGGUGUAGCAGUGAAAUGCGUAGAUAUCGGGAGGAACACCAGUGGCGAAGGCGACUUCCUGGCCUGUUCUUGACGCUGAGGCGCGAAAGCUAGGGGAGCAAACGGG